GUGUAAUGAAAAAAAAAAAAGGGGGAGGGAGGAAGGAAGAAAAAGGGAGAGGGGGAAAAGUGGUUUCUUUUUGGUCCCCAUGUCUCCAUUUCUGCGUUUCAUAAUUCAGCUGAAUCUAGGAAGCAUAGUGUGAUGGCUUUCCGAAAAAGGAAGGAAGGUGUUUUACUGCCAAAUUGAAUAUAUAGAUUUGGCUGUGAUUUUUAAGCCACCUGGUAACAUAUUUCAGGAUCUCUCCUUUUGUGCCUGUAUCUUAGCUCCAUCUAGAUACGAAUGUGUACUGGACUUGAAUACAAUAAAAAGGCUGACUUUUUACUUCGCCUUGAAUCUCUAACAUUUUCUGCCUUAUGAAAAAUGUACACUGCAAUGUUGUGUUUGGCCCGGGCUCCUAAAAAAAAUCCUCCUUCAGGAGAAUUUGACCCUGUUCCCAUUGUUUUCUCAGCAUGUUUUCAGCAUCAGCACAUUGAUUAUGCUGUCAUUAGCCAGAAUCCUGAGACAGGAAAAAGACCUAUCAGAUCACCAAAGUCCGUUCCUGGAGCGGGCCUCGGUCCCCUGGGAGAGACUGGGACAUGGCAUCUUAGGCCAAUGACCAAGGCAGAUGUAAAGGCAUGUGAAAUUGUACCCUGCUACGGUUUUUAAUUUUUGCAAGUUUCUGCAAUAACUCCCGGGGACUCUUCAUAAGACAGUUACACUGCUGAAUUUGGGUUGGAGAGGACCCUGCCUGACAAAAGCUUCCUGGUUGGCUGUUCAACCCCCAGCUUUCUGUGAGACCUAGCACCUGCCUUGGUCUCAUCUGUGAUGUAGAUUUCAACGCUACCGAUCAGGGGAGGUUAUAAAGGGGAAAAAUGGAUAAAAUAACUUACUUUAUGAACUGUCGCUGAAAUACUAGCAUCAAAAAAGUAAGCAGAGGCUGGCCCCGUGGUCUAGUAGUUAAGUUUGGCACCCUCGGCUUCAGCAGCCCAGAUUUGGCUCCCGGGCAUGGACCUACAAAGCUCAUGGACGGCCGUGCUGUGGCAGUGAUCCACCUACAAAAUAGAGGAAAAUUGGCACAGAUGUUAGCUCUGGGCAAAUCUUCCUCAGCAAAAAAAAAAAGUAAGCAAUAUUACAAAUACACUGGCUUAAGGUUAUCGCAUGUCAUAAUAUUUUUGCUUGCUUUGAAUUUAUAGUUUUGGGAAUCUAAGUUAAUAUUUUCAAAGACCAAAAAGUUGCUGCAAAUCUCAGGUUAGCUCAGACAUUUUGAAAAUGUGAGAAGCAAGCGAACUCCACUGCAAAUCCUUGUUAACAUUAACUAUCUGGGUUUUUGUUUAAGUCUUUGAUAUCAGUAGCAGAAUUAUACCUGUACAUUUGAAACAUUCCUUACUCUUUAGCCUAUUAAGGAGUCAUCCCUUCCUUGAAACUCUGCCCUAAUUAUGACAUUCUUUCCCCUCCCCUGCCGCGAACAGAAUCAAGGGUAGACUUUUCUGCCCUAUUGGGCUAACUUGAAUUAAAAUCUGUCAUUUGCAUUCAUUUCCAACUCUGUUACAUUUCCUAAUGAACGGUGUCUGAUCUUCAGGCAUUUCCCGGGGUGUUUAUGAGAAUGGUGCCCACUAAGGCUUAGUGGCUGAUCACGGUGAUAUUUAGUACGUGAAGCAUCUUUACAAAGCAGCCAGGCUAGAAUCUUUGUCCUUUAUUGUUAUUAAAAUCAGUCGCCCACAUUCCUCUGCUACGGAGUGAGGCUGCCCGGGAUAACUCAAACACGAAUUCUUCACAGGGAAGACAAUAGCACUGAUCAUAACAGAACUAAGAAUCCAUGAAGCAGGUCCUAACUUUCUCUAUAAACUGGGCGUACAUUGAACAAACUCUUUUCCUUUUCUUUUAUUUUACUUAACUUGUAGAAAUUAGAGUAGUCACAUAAGCUCAUGAUGAAUGAAAAAAAUGCCCACCCUACAAAUUUUCC
This 1933-nucleotide long non-coding RNA is filed under the name Equus caballus (horse). RNAcentral describes it as "lncRNA (ENSECAG00000052316.1)". The record is from RNAcentral. Lineage: Eukaryota; Metazoa; Chordata; Mammalia; Perissodactyla; Equidae.